GAUGAACGCUGGCGGCGUGCCUAAUACAUGCAAGUCGAGCGAACAGACGAGGAGCUUGCUCCUUUGACGUUAGCGGCGGACGGGUGAGUAACACGUGGAUAACCUACCUAUAAGACUGGGAUAACUUCGGGAAACCGGAGCUAAUACCGGAUAAUAUUUCGAACCGCAUGGUUCAAUAGUGAAAGAUGGCUUUGCUGUCACUUAUAGAUGGACCCGCGCCGUAUUAGCUAGUUGGUAAGGUAACAGCUUACCAAGGCAACGAUGCGUAGCCGACCUGAGAGGGUGAUCGGCCACACUGGAACUGAGACACGGUCCAGACUCCUACGGGAGGCAGCAGUAGGGAAUCUUCCGCAAUGGGCGAAAGCCUGACGGAGCAACGCCGCGUGAGUGAUGAAGGUCUUCGGAUCGUAAAACUCUGUUAUUAGGGAAGAACAAAUGUGUAAGUAACUGUGCACGUCUUGACGGUACCUAAUCAGAAAGCCACGGCUAACUACGUG
RNAcentral lists this ribosomal RNA (497 nucleotides) under uncultured bacterium. RNAcentral describes it as "partial 16S ribosomal RNA". It matches the Rfam family "Bacterial small subunit ribosomal RNA", at positions 28 to 507 of the family's 1533-position model. The record is from RNAcentral.